Molecule: long non-coding RNA, 634 nt
Filed under: Homo sapiens (human)
Lineage: Eukaryota; Metazoa; Chordata; Mammalia; Primates; Hominidae
Description: non-protein coding lnc-PPIAL4F-11:1
Source: RNAcentral
CUUCAAUCUUACAAGUAUUGAUCCAUUUCAACAAAAAGGUAAAUUUAAAAUGCAGACUUUGUUACUUGUCAAAGAAGAUUCAUGAAAAAUUUAUAUCCAAUUAUUUUCCAAAUAGUUAACUUAAUUUGGCUUUUUACCACAUUCCUUCCUUUCUUUCCCGACUUCUUUAAUGUAAUUUAAACCCUGGAAAACAUUCUUUAGAAACCAAGAGGAAAAGAAGAACACAUAUCAAAAAAGACAUAUAACUUAAAAUGGUACAUUUCACAUCUAAAAUGGGUUUGAAGAAACGCAACUUUAUAUCAUUAAAAAAUAAGAUCAUCUGAUUUCCUUUAUUUCUUUUUUAAAUUAUGUAAUCAGAUGAUUUUAUAUUUUUUGGGGGGGGCGGAAUAUUGGUUUCUUUUACUUGAUGUUUUCAGUUUUCUCUGGCAUUCAAGUUUCUUUUUUGUGUUCAGUGUUUCAAAUACAAUUUGUAUUUAAGGAUUUUAAAAUACCAAACUGUAAAUGAGUACAGUGGAUCUUUUUCUGUUAGGAUGUUAAUAUUAUACAAUGAAAUCUAUAAAGUGUUGUCAAUUUGAUCAUUGACACAUAUGACACGUUUACAAUUAAACUGUGGUGUUGAUCAAGUUAAAAAAAA